Molecule: long non-coding RNA, 910 nt
Organism: Drosophila yakuba
Lineage: Eukaryota; Metazoa; Arthropoda; Insecta; Diptera; Drosophilidae
Exons: 2
Source: RefSeq, a predicted model, not a curated record
AAGCUCUUCGACAGGAACUGUGACUUCUCCCAGCGGAUGUCGCGUAGAUGAAAGAUCUGCAAUGGCGAACAGUGCAAAUAUCAAGUGCCAAUGUACGUACGCUCGCCUCACAGCUUAAUUAAUUGCGCCCGGCCUAUCGGGAGGCCCCAAGAUACAAUGAAAUUGGCUCGAGUUGCGGUACAAAUGCACUCGACUCGUUAUCGCGCAUUCGUUAGAUACGAAAUAUGGCAAGUACAAUUGGACGCACUUUGCGCGAUAAUGAAAUUCACAUCCCAGCCCAGUUCUGUAAGUUCUCAGGGUUCGGGUUCGGCUACGUCAGGCGGUCGUUCAAUCGCCAUUUUCUAGCUGAUUACUAUUUAACUUAGUGGUGGACUCGUGACUUGAAAUACUGCCUAGUUCUUCUAGCUUAUCACCGAAAUUUAUAAAACUUUGUAGCACCAAAGAUACGUUAUCUGUAUCUAAAGUGCAAAACGGCUUAGGGAUGCGAAUACAGUGAAAUAUUGCAGAGCUUGCUUUCGUAUAGUAGUACUGGACAGAAGAUAUGUAAUAGUUGUCGCUAAUAACUGUUUACAAGUUUAGAAUCUAAUCGUUGGCUUAUGACAAACAGAAGUAAUUGAUACCGUAGAUAUAUCAUUUUUAAAAGUACACAACUAGGUGAAAUUGUCUAGUCUCAGGUUGUGAAGGCUAUGAUUGAUUCCUGCGGACUUCGAUGCAUUUUCCUACUUUACACUUAUAGCUGACAUCUUGUUCUCCUUCUCAUCAGGAACUCACCUCGGCCCACAUGCAGACAAUCAGGGAGGCGCAGGUCAUGAGCAAUGGAUAGUAGGCGGACAUCAGGGUGACGGCCCAUUGUGGCUGUAGAUCCAACUGAAAUGCCAGGAAAUACAUAAGGUUAUACGGUCUGAUUAAA